This 264-nucleotide signal recognition particle RNA is filed under the name pig gut metagenome. RNAcentral describes it as "Bacterial large signal recognition particle RNA". It matches the Rfam family "Bacterial large signal recognition particle RNA". From Rfam's summary of the family: The signal recognition particle (SRP) is a universally conserved ribonucleoprotein involved in the co-translational targeting of proteins to membranes. Archaeal SRP consists of a 7S RNA and homologues of the eukaryotic SRP19 and SRP54 proteins. The record is from RNAcentral.
CCGUGCUAAGUGGGGAGAUAGCGGUGCCCUGUUGCCUGUAAUCCGCUCUAACAGGACUGAAUCCCACUUUGAGGUUUAUUUGUGUAAAGCCCGGAACCGAUAAGCAGCGUUGACGACUGAGUCCUAUGCAAUAUAAGCUCGUGAACCGUGUCAGGUUCGGAAGGAAGCAGCACUAAGCGAUGAAUUAUAUGUGCCAUGGGGUUGCUUGGUUUGAGCCGGCUGUCGGGAUACCGUUUAUACAAAUUUAUCGAUUUGUGGUGCACG